Molecule: ribosomal RNA, 253 nt
Filed under: uncultured bacterium
Lineage: Bacteria
Description: partial 16S ribosomal RNA
Rfam family: Bacterial small subunit ribosomal RNA
Source: RNAcentral
UACGUAGGGUGCAAGCGUUGUCCGGAAUUAUUGGGCGUAAAGAGCUCGUAGGCGGUUUGUCGCGUCUGCUGUGAAAACUCAGGGCUUAACCCUGAGCCUGCAGUGGGUACGGGCAGACUAGAGUGUGGUAGGGGAGAUCGGAAUUCCUGGUGUAGCGGUGGAAUGCGCAGAUAUCAGGAGGAACACCGGUGGCGAAGGCGGUUCUCUGGGCCUUACCUGACGCUGAGGAGCGAAAGCGUGGGGAGCAAACAGG